UUAAAGAUUUUUUUAAAAAUCAUCUACAUAAAAUAUAAAUGAUGCU
Molecule: non-coding RNA, 46 nt
Organism: Gorilla gorilla gorilla (western lowland gorilla)
Lineage: Eukaryota; Metazoa; Chordata; Mammalia; Primates; Hominidae
Source: Rfam